Molecule: unclassified non-coding RNA, 274 nt
Filed under: Linnemannia exigua
Lineage: Eukaryota; Fungi; Mortierellomycota; Mortierellomycetes; Mortierellales; Mortierellaceae
Description: Mortierella exigua partial internal transcribed spacer region
Rfam family: Eukaryotic small subunit ribosomal RNA (bases 1-86)
Source: RNAcentral
CUUGGUCAUUUAGGACAGCUUGGUCAUUUAGAGGAAGUAAAAGUCGUAACAAGGUUUCCGUAGGUGAACCUGCGGAAGGAUCAUUCAUAAUAAGUGUUUUAUGGCACUUUUUAAAUCCAUAUCCACCUUGUGUGCAAUGUCAGUCGGUUUUCUUUUUCGUCAAGAAAAAAGGAUCGACCAAACAUCAACUUAUUCUAAUUGAACUUUUGUCUGAAAACUAUUAUGAAUAAACUAAUUCAAAAUACAACUUUCAACAACGGAUCUCUUGGCUCUC